GUCCGCGUGGCGUAGUGGUAGCGCAUUGCACUUGUAUUAUCCUUCCCUGCAGGAUGUAUAUGCAAAGGUCACUCGUUCGACCCGGAUUGUGGGCA
This is a non-coding RNA of Guyanagaster necrorhizus, 95 nucleotides long. Lineage: Eukaryota; Fungi; Basidiomycota; Agaricomycetes; Agaricales; Physalacriaceae. The record is from the annotation of a RefSeq genome assembly.